UGGGGGAAUAUUGCGCAAUGGGGCGAAAGCCUGAUGCAGCAACGCCGCGUGAGUGAUGAAGGUCUUCGGAUUGUAAAGCUCUGUCUUUUGGGGACGAUAAUGACGGUACCAAAGGAGGAAGCCACGGCUAACUACGUGCCAGCAGCCGCGGUAAUACGUAGGUGGCGAGCGUUGUCCGGAUUUACUGGGCGUAAAGGGUGCGUAGGCGGAUGUUUAAGUGAGAUGUGAAAUACCCGGGCUUAACUUGGGUGCUGCAUUUCAAACUGGAUAUCUAGAGUGCAGGAGAGGAGAAUGGAAUUCCUAGUGUAGCGGUGAAAUGCGUAGAGAUUAGGAAGAACACCAGUGGCGAAGGCGAUUCUCUGGACUGUAACUGACGCUGAGGCACGAAAGCGUGGGUAGCAAACAGGAUUAGAUACCCUGGUAGUCCACGCCGUAAACGAUGAGUACUAGGUGUAGGAGGUAUCGACCCCUUCUGUGCCGCAGUAAAACACA
This 492-nucleotide ribosomal RNA is filed under the name uncultured bacterium. Its description in RNAcentral is "partial 16S ribosomal RNA". It matches the Rfam family "Bacterial small subunit ribosomal RNA", at positions 354 to 859 of the family's 1533-position model. The record is from RNAcentral.